AAGCCACUCAUGACAUCUGUAGAGUCUGGCUGGGAGGAGUGUGACAUACUGAGAAGGCACAGGCUCUGGAGUCAGGGGACCUGAGAUCAGAUCCUGACUGCUUGGCACAAAUCCUGUGUGACUCUGGACCUCAGUUUUACUUAUCUGUGAUAAGUAAAUGAUUAUCUCUGCACGGACAGCACUCAAGUGUUGCUUUGAGCUUCAGAGAGCCUAGUCUGAUGCUGUGGUCAAGGGGGAGGUGCCUCUUGGCCCUGGGCUUGAGUUUUCCAAAGAGGUUUCAGAGAAUCAGCUGACAUUGCCUGAAGAGCAUGAAGGGGAUAAACUUGACCGGCUGCUCUUCUCUCCACAGGCCCAUAGAGCUGGACAGAAAAGCAUCCCAAGAAAGUCUGCCCUGGCAUCAGAAGUGCAGUUGAAGACAUCUUCCUUGAAGCCCAUACUGUCAGGUGAGUCAAUCAGAGGCUCUCAUGCCUUGGGGUGGGCCCUGGUCCACCUCUCAAGUGAAGGACCAGGGGUCUUUAGGCAUCUCAGUAAACUGAGUUUGAUUAGUCAUCUUUUUUAACUCACUGACAUACCUGCAUGCCCAGGAAUCCUGAUAGGCCUUCAUCUCCAUAUUAUUUCUGAUUUUAGCCAUUCCUGGCUUCCUAAUCAGGGGUCCAGAGCUGAGUUUCAGAUUCUCAGGAAACACUCCAGAAUUGCAUGCUUGCAUUUUGUAGGUUUUCUGGAGAUGAGAGGCCAUAGGUUUCAUCAGAGUCUCAGAGAUAUCCACGAUCCAGAAAUUCAAGAACUCCUUGUCCACCAUCAAUGGUAGAGACCUUCCAGGCUGUCAAGGUCUCUGCCAUCCUGGUUUAUAGCCAGCCUGGCCCAGCCCCAGAGAGAACAAGUGAAGAAUCCAGCUUAUCCAUUCUUCCUCCAUUUUUUUUUUUAACUUUUGUUUUCAUUUUGAAGGUCUGAUGCUCAUUAUUCUAAACUGUUAAAAGGGGUGAGAACCUUCCCACACAGAAGAAAAUGGAAUUGGUAUGCAAAGUAGACCCAGUCUUGAAUAAUUAAUUCUGAUUUGCAUGUUCAGAUGAGCCUGAGAGCUGCCCUGGCAGUCAGGAGGAAAUUCAGAUGCAGGAAAGUAGAGGGUGGCUCCCCAGUGAGGGAGAUUCAACUUCCCUGGGACUUCCACUGCCUUUCUCAAGUCAACUCUGUGGUCUAAUGGAGCUUUAAAACACCCUAGGUGACUCAGACUUGAGGCCCAGAGAGGGAAUUGUCUUGCCCAACUCACACUGCAGGCUAGUGACAGGAAGAACCACAUAGUAGAUAAUAAUAUAGAUUCCGGGUCUCUUGGACCACCCAGAUGCUCAUCCCAUUACUGUUAUGUGGCCUUGGGAAAUUACUUAAUACGUAAUACUUAAAACCUCUCUAAGCC
RNAcentral lists this long non-coding RNA (1411 nucleotides) under Bos indicus x Bos taurus (hybrid cattle). RNAcentral's name for it is "lncRNA (ENSBIXG00005013366.1)". Lineage: Eukaryota; Metazoa; Chordata; Mammalia; Artiodactyla; Bovidae. The record is from RNAcentral.